GAGGAGCUGACAAGCACAAGUGUGGAACACAUCAUUGUCAAUCCUAAUGCUGCCUAUGACAAGUUCAAGGACAAGAGAGUGGGGACAAAGGGACUUGAUUUCUCAGAUCGUAUUGGAAAAACCAAGAGGACAGGAUAUGAAUCUGGAGAAUAUGAGAUGCUUGGAGAGGGUCUGGGAGUGAAGGAGACACCCCAGCAAAAGUACCAGCGCCUACUGCAUGAGGUCCAAGAGCUGACAACUGAAGUUGAAAAAAUCAAGCUGGCAGCCCUGAAGCAGCAGCUGGUUGCUUCCCACCUGGAGAAGCU
RNAcentral lists this small RNA (305 nucleotides) under Pan troglodytes (chimpanzee). RNAcentral's name for it is "processed transcript". The record is from RNAcentral. Lineage: Eukaryota; Metazoa; Chordata; Mammalia; Primates; Hominidae.